AUCCACCCCCACCUCCUUCUUUCCAACCAGAUCGAGCGAGAGCGAGAGCUCGCCUCCUCCCUUCCCGAUCGCCGCCUCGACCUCCCAACCCCUCUCUCUUCCUCUCCCGACGCGGCCACUCUGCUCUCCUCCCCCCUCCAUCGUCUGCCUGCUCUGCCAUCGCCCCACCCUCUCCUCCCCCCUCACCUUCUCUCCCUCGGCGGUCCCGCUUCCAGAUCGAGCAGGUGACGCGGCGGCGCUCUCAGAUCUGUGGCGUGCACCCCAUGGCUCGUCGUCAUGGCCGACGGCCUCAUCCUCGUCGACGAAGGCUUCGAGGGCUGUCGGAUUUCCACUGGCGCGGCUGACGGCGGCUGGGACAGAGGUGCUCCGUGCUCCAGGACCAGGUGAAUGCCUCCGCCUCCGCAGCCCAAGGCCACGCCUUCUUCACACUCACGCGGCGGGGGAGGAGGUGGGGGACCUUGCUGCUUCCUCCGCCAUCUUAACCGAUAGAGGAGGGCGCCCGUGUGCUUCUUCUCGGGCAACGAUGCGUCAUGCCCCUAGUUCAUCUCGUUGUGGGUGGAGCUGCGAGCCAGCGCCGCGCCAUGGCCUCCUGCGUCGCUGGACCCGACCUCCACCAGUCCGUCAUCGUGCCGAUCAGGGUGCCACCAUCAUGCGGGCCACUGUUGUGCAGGCCUGCAGCAUGUUCUAUGACACCCCUGCAACGCUCGAUUGAUGCCCCAAAUCGCAUGGAUGGUGCACCGAUGCACCCAGUUGCCCAAGGUGCAGGGCCGAACGCCAUGACAAUCAAACGCCUCUGCCAGCAAUAGGCAUGGGAGGCAUAUCAGCGAGCCCACCAUCGUGGCUCCAAGAAGAGGGGCAACCACUGCCGCCACUGAAUAAAGGGUGGGGUGGUGCAGUGGCCGCAUGAACAUGCUCAGGGGCUUCAUCGGCGGGGUGCUCAGGAGACGGGCGAUGUGGAUGCUGCCCACCCAUAUGGUACACAACAUGGGGGAGUCCAUCUCCGACCGUCCCAAGCAGAACCAUGAUAGACCUACAACGGCAGAAGGUGAACUAUCUUCACUGAAAUUGAAGAACUAUCUUCACUGUCUCUCCCUGCUGCAUCGUCUCGCCCGUUCUCCUUCUAUUUACUCCGGGAAGGCAUGAUGUACAUCUAGUGGUCAUCAAGUCAAGGAACCUCUUCUUCUUGCCGCGAUUGUCCUCCUCCCCCUACUCGGCUCUGCUCAACAGCUAGCGUCCAUGGCUAAAACAAAGGAUGACUAGUGAUGCAGCACAGCAAGCAGUAGCAGGCACACCAAGCAGCAGCAGCAGGGGGAGGGGGUCUCUCGAACAUUGCCGCUACCACUCAUUUCUACUGUCAUUGAUUGAUGAUUGAUGGCCAUUGUUAGUUUAGCUCCUUGGUAGUCCCCCCUCUCUUGCAAGCGUCUACAACUGCUGGUAGAAAUAGAAAUGGUAGCUCUAGUCCCAUGUUGUAGUCCAAUGUAGUUCCUUUGCUCGGACUGCCCUUUGUUGCUUCAUUUCUAUGUUAAUUCAGUCUCUGUUGAAUGUAUCUACUAUCCACUGUCAUGGUUGUGUAACGAAUACUUUUGUGUUCAAAUAAAUAAAAUGGUUUGGAUACAUGCGUA
This is a long non-coding RNA of Triticum dicoccoides, 1622 nucleotides long. RefSeq lists it as uncharacterized. The record is from RefSeq and is a predicted model, not a curated record. The transcript is spliced from 5 exons. NCBI's taxonomy places the organism in Eukaryota, Viridiplantae, Streptophyta, Magnoliopsida, Poales, Poaceae.